GUCCCUUUUCUUUACAACCCCCAUCAGUUGAGAAUUCAGUCUUCCUUGAGGUUGUCUCAUUGGUUUAGCAUCACUUGAUAAGUCAAUACAAAACAAAGAAUGAUCUUUAAUCGGAUGCUUCCNAGAUUCCAACACAUUGAAGCGCACUUUCUCGUCUCCUAUCUCCAUUGUCAAUGAUCCUGCAUGCACAUCUAUCUUGGUUCGUGCUGUC
This 211-nucleotide long non-coding RNA is filed under the name Vigna radiata. RNAcentral describes it as "long non-coding RNA (VRAD_LNC015511)". The record is from RNAcentral. Lineage: Eukaryota; Viridiplantae; Streptophyta; Magnoliopsida; Fabales; Fabaceae.